AAGGGUGUGGUGUUAAUGGUAGCACGUCGGUCUCCGAAGCCGAUAGUCUUGGUUCGAAUCCAAGCAUCCUUG
This 72-nucleotide transfer RNA is filed under the name Candidatus Peribacteria bacterium. RNAcentral's name for it is "tRNA-Arg". It matches the Rfam family "tRNA". Rfam says of the family: Transfer RNA (tRNA) molecules are approximately 80 nucleotides in length. Lineage: Bacteria; Candidatus Peregrinibacteriota; Candidatus Peribacteria. The record is from RNAcentral.